Molecule: transfer RNA, 69 nt
Filed under: Astalotermes sp. BDIT120
Lineage: Eukaryota; Metazoa; Arthropoda; Insecta; Blattodea; Termitidae
Description: tRNA-Trp
Source: RNAcentral
AAGGCCUUAAGUUAAAACUAAACUAAUAACCUUCAAAGCUAUAAAUAAAGGGGCACCCUUUAGGCCUUG